GACGAACGCUGGCGGCGUGCCUAAUACAUGCAAGUAGAACGCUGAAGGAGGAGCUUGCUCUUCUGGAUGAGUUGCGAACGGGUGAGUAACGCGUAGGUAACCUGCCUGGUAGCGGGGGAUAACUAUUGGAAACGAUAGCUAAUACCGCAUAACAGUAGAUGUUGCAUGACAUUUACUUAAAAGGUGCAAUUGCAUCACUACCAGAUGGACCUGCGUUGUAUUAGCUAGUUGGUGGGGUAACGGCUCACCAAGGCGACGAUACAUAGCCGACCUGAGAGGGUGAUCGGCCACACUGGGACUGAGACACGGCCCAGACUCCUACGGGAGGCAGCAGUAGGGAAUCUUCGGCAAUGGACGGAAGUCUGACCGAGCAACGCCGCGUGAGUGAAGAAGGUUUUCGGAUCGUAAAGCUCUGUUGUAAGAGAAGAACGAGUGUGAGAGUGGAAAGUUCACACUAUGACGGUAUCUUACCAGAAAGGGACGGCUAACUAUGUG
RNAcentral lists this ribosomal RNA (495 nucleotides) under uncultured bacterium. Its description in RNAcentral is "partial 16S ribosomal RNA". It matches the Rfam family "Bacterial small subunit ribosomal RNA", at positions 28 to 507 of the family's 1533-position model. The record is from RNAcentral.